This 439-nucleotide ribosomal RNA is filed under the name uncultured bacterium. RNAcentral describes it as "partial 16S ribosomal RNA". It matches the Rfam family "Bacterial small subunit ribosomal RNA", at positions 338 to 795 of the family's 1533-position model. The record is from RNAcentral.
CCUACGGGUGGCAGCAGUAGGGAAUUUUGCGCAAUGGGCGAAAGCCUGACGCAGCAACGCCGCGUGAUCGAGACGCCCUUCGGGGUGUAAAGAUCUGUCAGUGGGGACGAAACUUGACGGUACCCACAGAGGAAGCAUCGGCUAACUCCGUGCCAGCAGCCGCGGUAAUACGGAGGAUGCGAGCGUUAUCCGGAUUUAUUGGGUUUAAAGGGUGCGUAGGCGGGCUUUUAAGUCAGCGGUAAAAAUUCGGGGCUCAACCCCGUCCGGCCGUUGAAACUGGGGGCCUUGAGUGGGCGAGAAGAAGGCGGAAUGCGUGGUGUAGCGGUGAAAUGCAUAGAUAUCACGCAGAACCCCGAUUGCGAAGGCAGCCUUCCGGCGCCCUACUGACGCUGAGGCACGAAAGUGCGGGGAUCGAACAGGAUUAGAUACCCGAGUAGUC